Molecule: ribosomal RNA, 656 nt
Filed under: bacterium YG-12
Lineage: Bacteria
Also listed under: 4 other names
Description: bacterial SSU rRNA
Rfam family: Bacterial small subunit ribosomal RNA
Source: RNAcentral
ACCCUGGUAGUCCACGCUGUAAACGAUGUCGACUUGGAGGUUGUGCCCUUGAGGCGUGGCUUCCGGAGCUAACGCGUUAAGUCGACCGCCUGGGGAGUACGGCCGCAAGGUUAAAACUCAAAUGAAUUGACGGGGGCCCGCACAAGCGGUGGAGCAUGUGGUUUAAUUCGAUGCAACGCGAAGAACCUUACCUACUCUUGACAUCCACGGAAUUCGCCAGAGAUGGCUUAGUGCCUUCGGGAACCGUGAGACAGGUGCUGCAUGGCUGUCGUCAGCUCGUGUUGUGAAAUGUUGGGUUAAGUCCCGCAACGAGCGCAACCCUUAUCCUUUGUUGCCAGCACGUAAUGGUGGGAACUCAAAGGAGACUGCCGGUGAUAAACCGGAGGAAGGUGGGGAUGACGUCAAGUCAUCAUGGCCCUUACGAGUAGGGCUACACACGUGCUACAAUGGCAUAUACAAAGAGAAGCGAACUCGCGAGAGCAAGCGGACCUCAUAAAGUAUGUCGUAGUCCGGAUUGGAGUCUGCAACUCGACUCCAUGAAGUCGGAAUCGCUAGUAAUCGUAGAUCAGAAUGCUACGGUGAAUACGUUCCCGGGCCUUGUACACACCGCCCGUCACACCAUGGGAGUGGGUUGCAAAAGAAGUAGGUAGCUUAAC